UUACGUUGACCCACGGGAACGACAUUCAUUACCCACACAGACUUUCUAGCUUCCAAAAGGGCAGUAUUUAAACCUCCAUAAUGAGCAUUCAUGUCCAUCACAUUUCGAACCAUAUUGUAUGGAGGCAUUGGGUCUUCAUCACCAGGUCUCUUUGGAUGGUCAGAGAAAAUCAAGGGAGAAAGUAAUGACCAAUAAUUUCUUAAAGCAGAUUUCCAGUACUCCAAGUCCUCAAAAAAAUCUUCAGGAUUUAUUCCUGUAAUGAAAUUGAAUAUAAUUAUAUAAACUGAAGAUGGUAGGGUCUACCAAGCAUGGGUAUUACACAUCAUAUGGCUUCAAACUACUUUGUUACAUACCAUGGAUCACAAGCUCACCAGAACUCAACAAACCAGAAGACCUGUUCUGAAUUGGAAUCCAGCGCUUGGUACCAGUACCACUUAUACACUGUGCAAGUGGUUUAUAGUAAGAUUGGCCAUCAUCCCCGUUGCAAAGGGGGUAAGUCUGCUUACUAUAAUUACAAACAAUUUUUUUGACAGCAUUAGUACAAAUAUAAUUAAAAUAUGAUGGUUGAAUAAAAGUAACUCAGAAACAAAGACAGAUUAAGAGCAGAGCACCCGUGAGAUUGAAAGAUAUAUAUUGAUUAAUAACAAGUAACCACUCUCACCUAGAGUAGCAUUUAGCAUCUGUGGUUUUCUGCCAGAUGAAAGUUUCGUCUUGCUGUGCCAGAAGAUUCCAGCAAAGUUUUGGCGUAAAUUCUUCAAGAGGAGUUGCUAUGGAUCCCUUGCUUCCUUGCUGCCUCCUUCUGGGUGAGGUUAAAACAAAGUACCCUCCAGGUUUGAGGACUCUAUCAACUUCAACAAGAAACAUUCCAUCUGACAAGAGUAAUACAUAGUUAGCAACAAAAGCAGACAAGAACAUCCCUGUUCUAGAAUUCAGUGCCUUGUAGUUUUAUCAUAGACUGAUUGACCUUGAUCUUCAUUUGAGCAUACACGUCAACUAUAAAUCUAGCAAGAAAGUUGGAUUCACAUAAAAUGUGAUUCAGUUUUACGAAAAGAAUAAACUUAAAUCUACAAUCACAUAAAGAAAAACAAAAANCCUUAUGACUUGAGCUAUAACCGAUGAAGACACACUUGUGAGACCUAAAUUGGAGCUUAUUGGUGUUGUAAGGUUUAAGAUAGGGAAAGCAGGAGCAACCAAACACCUUAAGAUAAGUAUAAUUUGGGAUUUCUUUGUAUAGAACUUGAUAUGGGGACUGCAUUUAUAAAGUAGGAGUUGGGAGCCUAUUUAUAAGAUAUGUUGCUGACUCAAAUGCAGACCACCAAUAUGUGAGAGGAAGUGAGGCUUGACUAAGAAGAGUAAGACCUGUAUCAACCACAUGUUGAUGUUUUCUCUCUGCUUUUCCAUUUUGAGAGUGUAUGUGAGGACAUGGAUGCUGGAAUUUGACACCUAAGGACUGUAGAAAAGGAACAAGUUUCCUAUACUCCCCACCCCAAUCUGACUGAAAAGCAUGAAUAGUUGUUUCAAACUGACAUUGAACCAUUUUAAAGAAUUGUUGAACCACUGUAUAAGCUUCAGAUUUUGCUGUCAAGGGAAAAAUCCAAGUAAACCUACUGAAGUCAUCUAAGAAAUGAAUAUAGUACCUGAAUCCUUGAGGUGAAGCUAUAGAAGUAGGUCCCCACAAAUCUGAAUGGAUGAGUUGAAACGGUUUGGUUGUUUUAAGAGUUUGGGAAAUAUGUGGUUUUUGAUGUAUCUUACCUAUGCUACAAGCAUCACAGAACAUAGAGGCAGAUUUAUCAGCAGAUAUAUUCAUCAAUUUAAGAACAUGAGUUAAGAUAGCAGAAUUUGGAUGUCCUAAUUUCUGAUGCCAUAUGUCAAUUUUAUUAACUUGUGCAGAGGUAGUACAAGUUGUUGAUACAUUGUUGGAACUAUUACAAGAGAUAGGUACAGAACAAUUAAAGGCUGAAACAGUAGGAGAACUAGUAUGAGUCAUAGCUGUGCUAUCAGCGGUUUUAUUUGAAACAUAGGCAUUAGAAACUAAAGAAGAAGAAGAAAUAUCUGACAUUGAGUGAGUGCUAGGCUUGAGACAUAGCUGAGACAGAUCCAUCUUGUAGAGCCCCUUGUGCAGCUUGCCCCGAAGCAGAGUUUGAAGAGAAUUCUUGUCCUUCACAAGACAACAGUUAUGAUGAAAUUCAAAAAUAACAUUGUUGUCUUUAGUGAACUGUGAGAUGCUUAUGAGAUUUUUAGUGAUUUGUGGAACAAAUAGAAUAUGAUUAAGAAGCAAAGAAGAAGAUGAAGGAGAAGAGAUAGUACUAGAACCAAUGGAGUUGAUAGGAAUAGUAUUACCAUUACCAACUGUAAGAGCUUCAUUUCCAGCAUAGGGUGAAUUGACUUGCAAGUUCUGCAUAGAGUUGGUAAUAUGAUUGGUUGCUCCACUAUCAACAUACCAGCCUUCAUCUUCAUCAUAGUCAUAUUCUUGUGAGGACUGAACAUCUGUAACAUAAGCUUGUGGAUUAGCAGAAGUAGCAAUAGAAGAAUCAGGUCCAGUGAAGUGGAUAUCAAACCGCUUGUAGCACUUAAGCGCUACAUGACCAGGGCGAGAGCAUAGUUGACAAACUACAGAUGAUUUGCUGUUUUUGAAUAGAGAUCCUCGACCAAUCAUGCCUCGACCGCGAGAGGAACCUCUACCACGCUGAGCAUAGUGUGCCAUUGGAUCAGUGAUGGAGAAGGAGAAUUGUUGUUGAAGGCGAGCUUCAUGUGAUUGCAAAGCAUAUUGUAACUCCUGAAGAUUUGGUGGAUCGGCUCGGUGAAGGAGAUUAACAACUACUGCUUCAUAUUCAGCCCCAAAACCACUCAGAAUACGCUCACUGAGUUCAGCAUCUGAGAUUCCACUUCCAACAGCACUCAAUUGAUCUGCUAAGCCACGCAUUUUUAGAAAGUACUCAUCCACAGUGAGCGAGCCUUUCUUUUGUGAAAGCAAUUGAUUUUUCAAUUGAAGAGCCCUAGCUCUGGACUGUGACUGAAAUAAUUGCUCCAGAGUGUUCCAGACUUCACACGCAUUUGUGCAGCGAACAACAUAACCCAUCAUUGACUCGCUAAUAGAGGAUAGUAACCAGCUCAUAAGGAAUUGAUCUUUCCUCAUCCAUUGAUUGUAGUCUGGAUUUGGAAUAGACCGUGUGAUUGUGGAAGAAGAUGGAAGCAACGGAGAUGGCGAUGUGGCGGUGGAGGAGAUGAAAUUUUCGAGACUAUGAGCUCGAAUUGUAGUUAGGACUUGGAUGCGCCAAAACGCGUAGUUAUUGCGAUCGAGCCGCAGCAAUAGAGGAUGAAGAUUAGGAAGAUUAUUGGAAUUCGCGGAAGCAGCCAUGGAAAAGAACUAAGGAUCGAAGAAUUUUGGAGUGUAAUCAACAAAAAAAUAACUGCAGAUUUGAGAUAGAAACGCAAAUCUGAAUGUGAUACUACUCCAAAAGAAGACUUGCUCUGGAUACCAUGUUAAUGGAAACUAAACCAGAGAGUUUUGAGAGAAUAUUUCUGAUAUUUCAUUGAUGAAUGAAAACUGAAUACAUGAAAAGGUUACAACUCAAUAUAUAUCUACUUCUAGUCUAUAGAUACAAGAAUAGAUACAAGUGAGAUGGUUAUGCUAAGCUAACUCCUUAACCACUUUUGUAACUGUCUUUAGCUGGCUCUAUUUAGUAGUAAGGAGACUGACGUGGCAUGCACACUCUAAUAGAGAUUGAGUUAAAUAUGCAUAAUAUUUCUCUCACCCUCUAUUAUCUUGUCUUUGUGAUAGGAUGAUAGUAAAAAUGGCUGUGAUGAUAAGCUCAAACAAAGGCUGGCUCUUCCCUGGUGACUUAAUGAUCAUUGUGCCAAAGGUGGAAUGUGGAGUGUUGGCCCAAUGCUCAUUAAUUCCCUUAAGCCCAAACCCAAGCCCAAAAUCCCUAAGCCUCUUUUACCCUAAGUCCAAAUCAGUCUCACCCUAUUUCACUCUCUCUCAUCCUCCGCCACUCUCACCUCUCUCCCCCCCCCCGAGACCCUUCCUCUCCCCCGACCUCUGAUCUCCUGAUCUCUCGAGCUUCUCCCACCAUUAAUUGCUUACCCCUCCUUCCCGAUACCUCCAUUUACCUCUCUGAUCAAUCCCCAUCUUGGUUAUAAAGCACUCGAUUGUGGGAAGUUCCGUUUAAGACGUUCACAACCUUGAAGGCUCUGCUAUUCCUUCUGUGUUUUCCGGUCUGAUCUCCGGUGUUGUGGCUGUGAGGAGCGGGCUUCAUGCUAUUGAGAGCAUUAUCAUCGGAUUUUUGGUGAUAUUGCUGAGUUCCCUGUGUCGCCGGAGUCCUGUCCAUCGGAUUCCUGAGUUUAGGCGGCUGGGCUUGACUGAGUUGGGCUCCGAUCUGAGUUCCUCUUCCACCUUUGAGCCUUGGUCCUUGAGCUGCCGGAGUGUGUAGUGCCUAAGUGGGAAAAUCUGAGCCUCUGUGUCCGAAAGGGCACAAUUUUCCCACUUGACUUACAUCUUUUCUCUCCUGUUUUCUUUUCUUUCUUUUUCUCCUUUUCUGUUUUACUUGCUUGUGUUCUCUGUGUUUCUGCAGGUUCAGAAAACUGAGGAAGAAGAAGGAGAAGCAGAAACAAGAAGAGGGAAGAACUAGAAGAAGGCAAGCUGAUAAGUCCAAGUAGAAGAUACAAGUGCUUGAGCAUGAAGUGGGGAAGACAGGAGGUUCGGGAACCAAGUGGUGUAACCCUGGCUAGGCACAGAUACCCAACAAUAUGCAUGAUGCAAAUUUUCAUUAUCUACUCCCUCCGUCCGCCAAAAUUAUGUAAAAUUGCUUGGGCACGAGAUUUAAUAAAAUUGGUGAUGAUUUUGAUGUAGUGGAGAAAGGGUCCCACCACUUUAUGAGAUAUGUGGUUGAGAUUGAAUUUUGAGUGGGUUUUUUAUAAAUAAAGAGUGUUAGUAAGGAUAAAAUAAUAAAGAGGAUGGUGGGACCAUUGCCAUAAAAGGAAAGUGACAUAAUCUUGGCGGACGCCAAAUAUAGUAAUUUUUACAUAAUCUUGGCGGACGGAGGGAGUAAUAAUUUUUAAAUUUAUUUAAUAACUAUAAUAUCAUUACACUUGUAUAAAUUGAAAAAUUGAUGCGAAUUAUUAUAUUUUAUUCUUAAAACAUAUUUGUAUUUUUUUUAUUAUUAAUUAAUUUAUUUAAAUUAAUAUUUUAAUUUCAAUGUUUGUCGUGCAUCGCACGAUUGAGCGUACCCUAGUUAUAAUUAUAAAUGUCAGUUUAACAUAAGUUUUAAAGUGAAACUUGAUUCGCGUCACUGGUAAGAGCGAUACAAUCAAUCUCACAAACUUGGACGGUAAUGACUCGAAACCGAUUCAAUUGAUUUAUAACCCAAGCUCCCAAACCCAACAAGCAAGAAAGGCCACAAAAAGAAGUCAAAAUCUAGAACAUAAAAUUGCAAUAUCUCUUACAUUUUGCACUCGAUCGGUUGUAGCAAUCACUGGAGAAAUACAAACACAAUUCAAUUACACAAAUAAUUAAUUAAUAAAUAUAAAAACCACAAAGAUCGACUUGAAUGAAUUGCUACAAUCUGUCUGUCUGUCUCCUUUAGAGUGGGAAAAAUCUUCUUUUCCUUUUGAACUGCAGCAGCAAACAUUAGUCUUAUAUCUACAACCUCCAAAAUUUCUCAUCUCUUGAAUGAAUUACAUUUGAUCUCCAGAAAAACGUGUCGGAAACCACAUAUACUUCCUCGUUGCUCUAACUACAUCAUCACCAUUACUGAAAUGUGAUUUCAACUUCAGUGUCAAAACUCAGACAGAGUGUGUGCUCGAUCCAACGAGCGGAGUGUCGUAGAGAUGGUGAGAUCUUCCAUACAAAGAAACCUCAUUUUCUCAGAAAUGGUUUCUGGCAUACUAGUAGCCGCUGCUCGCUGCCAUCUUGAAGAUCGAUGACACGGGCUUCCCAUCGGAACUGUGUCACGAGAGUUCGUGCUAUCUCUAUUUGACCAACCUUAUCAGAAAUUAUAAUCCACCCCUGCCAGCAAACAAUGUUCAAGAAAAUCAAAAUUUUGUAGUCUUAUCAAAUGAGAAUAAUAAGCAUGAGAGAAAUUACCUCAGGCCGAAGAAUGCGGUCCAUUUCGAAAAUUAAAUCAAGCAUACUGCAUCUCUCUGAAGCGAGAUGUGAUAAAAGUCCAUUGGCGUGAAGCAUGUCAUAUGUGCGAGGGUAUGUGGGGAAAGGUUCACACCUGCAUCAUAAGAAACAUAAUUUAAGCGUAAAAUUUGAGGAUAUGGAACUUUCAGUCGCAGUCGUAGACAGAGACGGGGACAAUCAUUAUUGUCAAUAUCUCAAAUCAAGAAAUUUGGUAAGGCAAAAAAGAUCCAUCAAACUGAACAUAUCUAUAGUAGAGACUCCAGAAUUAAUUUUUGUUACUGCAUAAAUAUACAUAAGGGAAGAGCAUACAGAAUUAACAUCUUACCAGUUAUGCAAGACACCCGCAAAACCUUGAUCAAGAAUGAUAGGAAGUGUGUUACGUUGACCCACGGGAACGACAUUCAUUACCCACACAGACUUUCUAGCUUCCAAAAGGGCAGUAUUUAAACCUCCAUAAUGAGCAUUCAUGUCCAUCACAUUUCGAACCAUAUUGUAUGGAGGCAUUGGGUCUUCAUCACCAGGUCUCUUUGGAUGGUCAGAGAAAAUCAAGGGAGAAAGUAAUGACCAAUAAUUUCUUAAAGCAGAUUUCCAGUACUCCAAGUCCUCAAAAAAAUCUUCAGGAUUUAUUCC
This 6754-nucleotide long non-coding RNA is filed under the name Salvia miltiorrhiza (redroot sage). Its description in RNAcentral is "long non-coding RNA (SMIL_LNC006660)". The record is from RNAcentral. Lineage: Eukaryota; Viridiplantae; Streptophyta; Magnoliopsida; Lamiales; Lamiaceae.